Molecule: ribosomal RNA, 2897 nt
Filed under: Clostridioides difficile
Lineage: Bacteria; Bacillati; Bacillota; Clostridia; Peptostreptococcales; Peptostreptococcaceae
Description: bacterial LSU rRNA
Rfam family: Bacterial large subunit ribosomal RNA
Source: RNAcentral
UCAAGUUAUUAAGGGUGCAGGGCGGAUGCCUUGGCACUAGGAGCCGAUGAAGGACGUGAUAAGCUGCGAUAAGCUUCGGGGAGUUGCACGUAAACUUUGAUCCGAAGAUUUCCGAAUGAGGAAACUCACUUAGAGUAAUGUCUAAGUAUCAUUAAGUGAAUACAUAGCUUAAUGAGGGGAACUCAGGGAACUGAAACAUCUAAGUACCUGAAGGAAGAGAAAGAAAUUCGAUUCCGUAAGUAGCGGCGAGCGAACGCGGAUUAGCCCAAACCAAUAAAGUUUUCUUUAUUGGGGUUGAGGACAUACCACAUAUAAGAGGUCAUUAUAGACGAAGAAGUUUGGAAAAACUCAUCAUAGAAGGUAAUAAUCCUGUAGUCAAAAUAAUAAUUCUUUAGGUAUGAUCCAGAGUACCACGGGACACGUGAAACCCUGUGGGAAGCAGGAGGGACCACCCUCCAAGGCUAAAUACUACCUAGUGACCGAUAGCGUAUAGUACCGUGAGGGAAAGGUGAAAAGAACCCCGGGAGGGGAGUGAAAUAGAACCUGAAACCCUGCACUUACAAGCUGUGGAAGCACAUUUCUUGUGUGACCGCGUACUUUUUGUAGAACGGGCCAACGAGUUACGUUAAGUAGCAAGGUUAAGCACUUAAGGUGNGGAGCCGUAGCGAAAGCGAGUUUUAACUGAGCGUUCAGUUACUUGACGUAGACCCGAAACCGGGCGACCUACCCAUGAGCAGGAUGAAGCGAAAGUAAAAUUUCGUGGAGGUCCGAACCCACGAGCGUUGAAAAGCUCGGGGAUGACUUGUGGGUAGCGGUGAAAUUCCAAUCGAGCCCGGAGAUAGCUGGUUCUCCCCGAAAUAGCUUUAGGGCUAGCCUCAAGGUGAGAGAUACGGAGGUAGAGCACUGAAUGUCCUAGGGGGUAUUGCACCUACCGAAGACUAUCAAACUCCGAAUGCCGUCAUCUUAUACUUGGGAGUCAGACUGUGGGUGAUAAGAUUCAUAGUCGAAAGGGCAACAGCCCAGAUCGUCAGCUAAGGUCCCUAAAUGUAAGUUAAGUGGUAAAGGAUGUGGGAUUGCACAGACAACCAGGAUGUUGGCUUAGAAGCAGCCACUCAUUCAAAGAGUGCGUAAUAGCUCACUGGUCGAGUGAUCCUGCGCCGAAGAUUUCCGGGGCUAAAACUUACUACCGAAGCUACGGCAUCAGUAAUGAUGGGUAGGGGAGCUUCCCAUACGGGUUGAAGCAUGACCGUAAGGACAUGUGGACAGUAUGGGAGUGAGAAUGUUGGCAUGAGUAGCGAGAUGUGGGUGAGAAUCCCACAGGCCGUAAACCCAAGGUUUCCAGGGGAAGGUUCGUCCGCCCUGGGUUAGUCGGGACCUAAGCUGAGGCCGAAAGGCGUAGGUGAUGGACAACAGGUUGAUAUUCCUGUACUACCGAUAACCGUUUGAGAGAAGGGAUGACACAGUAGGAUAAGCUAAGCACACUGUUGGUUAUGUGUGCCCAAGCAUUGAGGCAGUCAAAGUAGGCAAAUCCGCUUUGAUAAUGCUGGGAUGUGAUGGGGAGCGAAAUUUAGUAGCGAAGUAGCUGAUUUCACACUGUCAAGAAAAGUCUCUAUCGAGGUUAAAGGUACCCGUACCGCAAACCGACACAGGUGGGUGAGGAGAGUAUCCUAAGGCCAGCGAGAGAACUGUUGUUAAGGAACUCGGCAAAAUGACCCCGUAACUUAGGGAUAAGGGGUGCCACCAUCAGGUGGCCGCAGAGAAUAGGCCCAAGCGACUGUUUACCAAAAACAUAGGUUUCUGCUAAGUCGCAAGACGAUGUAUAGGAGCUGACGCCUGCCCGGUGCUGGAAGGUUAAGGGGAUCUGUUAGAGCAAUCGAAGCAGUGAACUUAAGCCCCAGUAAACGGCGGCCGUAACUAUAACGGUCCUAAGGUAGCGAAAUUCCUUGUCGGGUAAGUUCCGACCCGCACGAAAGGCGUAACGAUUUGGGCACUGUCUCAACAACAGACUCGGUGAAAUUGUAAUUCCGGUGAAGAUGCCGGAUACCUGCGACAGGACGGAAAGACCCCAUGGAGCUUUACUGUAGCUUGACAUUGGGUCUUGGUACUACAUGUACAGGAUAGGUGGGAGGCUUUGAAACCAGGACGCCAGUUUUGGCGGAGCCAUCCUUGGGAUACCACCCUUGUAGUACUGGGACUCUAACCAUAGGCCAUGAAUCUGGUCUUGGGACACUGUCAGGUGGGCAGUUUGACUGGGGCGGUCGCCUCCCAAAAGGUAACGGAGGCGCUCAAAGGUUCUCUCAGUACGGUCGGAAAUCGUACGUAGAGUGUAAAGGCAAAAGAGAGCUUGAUUGCAAGACAUACAGGUCGAGCAAGGAUGAAAAUCGGACUUAGUGAUCCGGUGGUUCUGCGUGGAAGGGCCAUCGCUCAACGGAUAAAAGCUACCCUGGGGAUAACAGGCUUAUCUCCCCCAAGAGUCCACAUCGACGGGGAGGUUUGGCACCUCGAUGUCGGCUCAUCACAUCCUGGGGCUGUAGUAGGUCCCAAGGGUUGGGCUGUUCGCCCAUUAAAGUGGUACGCGAGCUGGGUUCAGAACGUCGUGAGACAGUUCGGUCCCUAUCCGUCGCAGGCGUAGGAAAUUUGAGAAGACCUGUCCUUAGUACGAGAGGACCGGGAUGGACGUACCUCUGGUGUACCAGUUGUCCUGCCAAGGGCAUGGCUGGGUAGCUAUGUACGGAAUGGAUAAGCGCUGAAAGCAUCUAAGCGCGAAGCCAACUUCAAGAUAAGAUUUCCCACCGCAAGGGUAAGACCCCAGAAAGACUAUCUGGUUGAUAGGUCGAAGGUGUAAGUGCAGCAAUGUAUUUAGCUUAUCGAUACUAAUAGGUCGAGGACUUGACCAA